CCGCCCGUCACAUCACGAAAGUGGGCUGUACUAGAAGUCGCCAAGCUAACCGCAAGGAGGCAGGCGCCUAAGGUAUGGCUCAUGAUUGGGUG
This 92-nucleotide ribosomal RNA is filed under the name uncultured bacterium. Its description in RNAcentral is "partial 16S ribosomal RNA". It matches the Rfam family "Bacterial small subunit ribosomal RNA", at positions 1390 to 1482 of the family's 1533-position model. The record is from RNAcentral.